GGAUGGAAUGCGUACAUCUCUUUGCCCAAGCAAUCUGCGUUGUAAGUGACACCGCCAUCGCUAGACCCUUAGGCAAGUUCCCUCUUGUGCUGGACCAUUUCUCACGUUUCGUCAGUAAGCAACCACUCAAUGCACUAGAGAAGAGGUUAAGAAAUUUGAUAGACCAUGAGGAAUAAGUUGUAUGUGAUUCAUGGACUACUCUACUGUGUUUUAGUGUCGGGCCAACAAGGUAAACUCUAUGUAAGCUGUUCAGCUGUUAUCAACCGCAUAACUUGAAGAAAAUGAGUCAGCAAAUUUUUUUUUAUACGUAAAACUAAAAUUACGAUAAUAGCUGUCUUUCUAAGUACCAAAUAUUCAGUUUAAUAGCUAAGCCCACAAAGUAAACAGCAAGACCAUUUAUUUGAGGGUGAAACAUUAAAACUUGCUAGUUACAUGUAUUUCUUUUUGAGAUGAUGACCAUCCUAUGUGUAUUUUUACAACAAUACAAACUUGUUUAGAACUAUAUUUCCAGGCCGACUUGCAGGCCAUUUAUAAGUUUGCCUACCAUGGACAAAUUGUGCUAGGGUUUCAGUUCAUAUCUUGUUCAUCUGUAGUCAAAUGCUUUACAGUGGUGCCGAAUGUUCCUUCAUUUAGCAGAUAUAUUGGUUUUUUUCAAUGAAAAUACAGCGUAUUUCAUUGAAAACCCUUUUUUACCCGAAAUCAUAGAUAAAUCCAUGGCUAUGACAGAAAGUUGAAAUUACUUUUUUUUCAUCCUAGAAUCCUUUAUUUCAUCUCUCAAACUACUGCAGUUCUAUGUAUUAUUUUGUUCUCCCCCAGUUUACCAUUUUGUAUGAUAAAUAUGUGAAGAAAAAAGAAUCUGGUCUGAAGCUACCAGCCAAAUUUCAGUCGUCGUCGUUACAUAUCAACAUUUCCCUUGAUUUGCACAAUUUGUUUUUAUUGCAAAUAAGUUACAACAGAAUGUUUUGACUUCCAACAAGAAUUUAUUGCAAAUUUCAUUCAUGAGGCUCACAUUUGAACAGAUCUCGAGAUUUAUAACCCCCUGCUUGUUCCUCCCCUCUCAGGAAUUCAUUCCUGACAUCUGGUUUCCGAAAACUAUUAACCUCUAUGGAUAAUCUAUAAAACAUCCCAUAAUUUUCAUGUUUUGAGUCUUCAACUGGAUGUAAACAUAGUAAACAUAAUGUUACAUGGACUCUCUUGAAUCAAGUGUUUCCUUUUUGUUUGUGAUAAAAUAUUACUUUCAUAUGCUUUCUAUACUUUGAAAUUUAUUUGUGCAUCAUGGGCCUUUACCAAUGUUAUUUGAAAGUGCAUGGUAUUAAAAGUGCUUCAUAGCCAAAGUAGCAAAUAAUAUGCAUCAAACAGAGUGUGACACCAAGACAUUGUUACAAGCAUUCUCUUCUGUAAAAUGUAAUAACUGUACUGUUCAUACCGGAUAAUGCAAUAUGUAGUAUGCAUAUUUAGAACCCAAGGGAAACAAUAUAUUUUGAAUGAUCAAACUUAAUAGCACUCUUCCAAAAGUUAGCUUUAAUUGAUUAUCAUUUAGAAAUUGUUAUCUUGUAAUUUGUUUAAUGUCAUUGCAAAGAAAGCGACAGAAAUAGCAUGUACAGAUAUAUUGAUAUCAUGAAUAUAUUUUAAGUCAUCCCUCCCCCAGAAAAGUAAUGCCAUGAAAUAUAAUGCAGUAUAUCAAAAAGAAAAAAAAAAGAGAAAAUCUAUGUAUUUCCAUACUAUAUAUGUAAAUCCUCAUUUCCUUUCACAGUUAUGCAGAACCACAUUUGUAUGUUACUUAAAGGGGUAAUCCAGGCUGAAAAUUAUAUGAUUUGAAGAGACUAAGAAAAAUCAGACAAAAAAAACACACAAAUUUUAUUGAAAUCCUAAAUCGGACAAGGAAUAACAAAGUUAUGGUAUUUCAAAGAUUAAAUUAUUAUUCCAGUGAAACAGUUUGAGGCAUGUCUUCAUGAAUAUUCAAUGAGCAAACUGAUGAUGUCAUAUCCCCACCUUAACCCCACUUUUUUUGUAUUUUGUUAUACGAAGUUAGGUUUACUAAAUAGGUUCAUUAUUGUUAGGUUACGUUUAUUCAAAUGUUUUCCUUUAAGAACCCAUAAUUUUGGAAUAACAACUAAUUAAGUGUAUUAGACAUUCAUUGCUGUGACUUAUUUCAUUACAAGGGAGACGUUUCAUUCACACAUGUAUGAAGCAUGAAACAAUUAUGAUAUCAUUUAAUAGCAAAAGAAAAAGGAGAGUGGAGAUGUAACAUCAGUCCAUCUAAUGAAUAUUCAUGACAACAUGCAUAUAUAACUGUUUUCACAAUAUAUUGCUAAACUUUAAAAUUCAAUAACUUGGCUAUUUGUAAUAAGAUUUUGAUGAAAUUUUCAGCAUUUUGCUCUGAAUUUUACUCUAUUUAUUUAGAUAUGAAUAUUUUUCAGCCCGGAGCAUACCUUUAAGACAGACUUUUGGAGUUGCAUUUCUUUAUUUAUGCAAUCACAGCAAACCCACUUCAGCUUACUGGCUGAAUUCAUGUUGCUUGAAGGGCUGAUUCUAAUGUCUUGCACCUUCAUGUCGUGCAGUUGCAUAUUAUUUCAAAUAAUAUGUAUGUGGCAAGUACAUGACUUGUAUAUUACCAUAGGAUGUUCUUCACAUUGAAUAUUUGCAUGUAUCUCCGGAGACAUUGCCUCUUGCCCUGCAGUAUUUAUAUUUUAAAAAACCCAUGAAGUUUGGCUUCUUUAUUUUUAACAUGAUUACCCUCCUUUUUUUCAGAAUCACUCUGGUCCGUGAUACAUGCACUUUUUACCUCAAGGUUUUUUGUUUAUUGUAUGUGAUUAACAAUGCUGCUGUAGGCAAUCUGACAUUUGCUAGCAUUAAUGAAUUUAACCCAUAUGAUCCAAAUCAGCUCUGGGCAAAUUGGGCAAUAAUAGUGUUAUUGUGAAUGUUCCUUUGUUGUAUUCCUUUGGGAUACAUGUGAGAAUCUAAGAUUUUUCUUUCCCUCUUCGCUUCUUAGAAAUCAUUGCUGCUUGAUUUUCUCACUUUUGUGUGGCUCAUAGUUUCAUGAAUUUGUGAUGAACCAGAAUGGUGCUUGGGGCUUUUCUUAAUACUUUUUAAUAAGUCAUAAACCUAAUAUUCAUAACUGGGGAUUGCUUUAAUGGAAGGACUUGUUAGACGUUUUAUCCAACAAAGUCUGUGUUAUCUGAUAAUUACCAUAGUAACAGUGCUUCUCAGCCAAUCAAAAUCAAGGAAAGUUGUCAGACCCUGACAACUUGUCAGACAAAAAUGUCGAUGAAAUGCUCCCUUGAAUUAUACUGUAUUUCCACUGAUGUUUUUGUCAUUAAUAACGAACGCCGUAAAGACAAUUUGGGGCAUACAUAUUAUGCCUACCAUAUUUCAAAUGAUGCAAAUCUGUUCAUAUGUUGUUAGUGAUUUACAAAUCACUGGGGAUCACUGGGGAUCCUUUCUUGUGGUAAAUGAUAUACACCAAACUAUCUUUGAUGUUGAUUUAUCGCUUAAGAAAGGAUCACCAGUCAUUCAUAAAGUCACCUGUAAUUCAUGAAACACGUAAUGGAACCCUUUUGGUAUUGUGUUCUGGGUAAGAUGAGUACUUAUGAAGGCUAUUUGAUAUUGAUGAAAUUAUCUCUCAUUUAAUAUUUAAUAUCUAUUGAGGCUUUCAAUUUUACAAUUCAUUUCAUUUAUUUCUUAAAAUGCAUAGAUUUAUAGAUAUUAUAAAUGCAUACAUUAUAAUUCAAUGAUAGCACAUUUAGAAGAAAACAAAAUCAAUAGCAAAGUAUGUCUUUGAAAAGUACAAUUAAGUAGCACAAGUAGGAGGAAUAGUAACAAAAUUAUAAAGAAAAAAAAAAGAUAUUGAGGACAACCUAAAUUAUCAUGAAAUAUAUUCAAUUAAUAUAGAUAUUUCAAAACGGUAAAAGAUUCAUCUUGAUACUCUUAUUGUUAUCAUUGAUCCUCCUGUACUCUUGUACCUAGUGGAGGCUAUCCUUCCCCCCUUCGUCCCUCUUUCUACAUCAUCCGCAGAUUGUUUCUUCCUUCGUUUUGCAUUCUCCCUUUCCCUUGUAUAAUCUUCCUCUAUAGGGUGAUUCCAUGCUUUCCUAGAAAAAUCAGCCCUUUUAACAACAUUUUCUCACCCACUGUCCAAACAAGGGACUUCAAUUUGUUCUGUGGUAAUAAUUAAGUGCUACAUGGUAGUCUUGUGAAAAAAUGAGAACAAAAAAAAAUAUGUCCAUGGGUGAAUGAGAGGUGAAAAUGUCGUACAGGGCAUCUAUGUUUCCCAUACGACACACAACAUUUUCACCUUUAAUUCACCCUUAAACAAAUUUUUGUUUCUUAUCAUUUUUUUUUCAGAAUCAUGAAUAACCACUAGAACUCUGUCAUUGCCACAAAAAAGAUAAUGCUCAUUCAGUCAAUUAAGAGACCUGAAAUUGUUGUCUAAAUGCCCUGUACGACUCGUAUUGGAUCGCUCUAUAAUGCGAUCCUUUAGUUUCUCAUUUCUUUAUCCAUUUCCAGUAUCAUCUCUCCUACCAUCUCUCUCUCUCUCUCCCUAUCCCCUUCCCUAGUUCCUUCUUUCCGUCUUUUUGCCCUCUUCCUUUUCCACGUACCAUCCUCUUCCGCUAUAAUGUCAUCCUUUAGUCUGUAAGUUUAAUUUUUUUAUGCCUUUUUCCAGUAUGAUAUAUCUCCUACCAUCUCGUUCUCACUAUUCCCUUCCGCUAAUCCUCCAUUCGCCAUGACUCCUACCAUUAUCCUUGUGUAUAUUCUGCUUCUCAAUACCCAGACCCCAUUGGCCAGCCAUUUAAAAUUCACCCAAUCCUUGCAGAUCCCCCAUUGCAGCACACAAAAACAAGGAUUACCAUAUUAAAUCGUUCAGGAAGAAGAUUGGCCCUAGAAUGCAUCCUUGGGGAACAGUUUUUGCCGGGAUUGAGGGCCGUGUUUGAGGUUAAAAUGCUAUCUAUGAAAACGUAAUUGCAUUGUCAUUUCUCUACGGGCUCUACAUGUAUGUUCUUUAUGUAUUUAUUAAUUUUUUUUUGAGGGGACCAUAUAAUUACUAUCUAUCUAAAAGACGAAUUGAAGUGGAUGUUUAUAAUGAUUUCACUUCAGUUGAUUUGAGAGACUGUAGGUGAUCUUUUCCAUGAGAACAUGUAGAAAUCUAGGCAGUAUAGUUUAUGCUGAAAACUUCAGUCUUUGCUAAAGGCUGGAUAAAAGAUGUGCCUCGUGAUAUAAAAUUUGUAGAUGUUCUGCAAUUUUUUUAUUGUAUAUCUUUUAGUUAUACUGGCCUAUCAUUAUUACUACUUUUAUGAUUGGUUUAUUGCAUUAGAUGUUAUUGUUGUUAAUAUAAAAAACAUUCUUUUAUUUUUGGGAAACAUUUGUUUUAAAUAAGUUUUGAAACUUGAACUUCAAAUUUCUAUCAUCUUAAAGUAUAUUGAUAUUUCGGAAAUCGUACAUGGUAAUAAUCUUAUAGGGGAAUUUGAAUCUACUUGUGUGUUAUUUUUCUUAUUCUUUUUUGGCGGUUUCCAUAUCAUUUUGUAUUCCACAUAAAACAAGAGAGAUUCGUUUUAUGACAGUUUUGACCAUUAAUCCCUUAUGAUAAUGUUCUUUAUAUAAAAAUAAAUCAUAGUGAGAAGUACAAUUUAAUUUUGAAGCUCUUAAUGGAUUUAAGAGAAUCCUUGGUGGCAGAAAAAUUAAAACUAAAUUCUAUAUCUUGCUGCAUGUGUUAUUAUGAUUUAUUUCAAAUGAUUUAUUAGAGGCAUAAGAUCUUGUUUAGUAUUGCAUGUACAAAAAGGGCAAAUGUGAAAACCUCUAUGUUCUCUCUAAUAUUUAUAGAGUAGAAUAGCAGUGUGAAAUAAUGUUAAUGUUUUAUUUGUGGGAUUGAUAACCUGAAGUAUUGGUUUAGAACACCCCCCCCCAAAAAAAAAAAAGAGGAAAAGACUACAAA
Lytechinus pictus (painted urchin) is the source of this 5926-nucleotide long non-coding RNA. RefSeq lists it as uncharacterized. The transcript is spliced from 2 exons. Lineage: Eukaryota; Metazoa; Echinodermata; Echinoidea; Temnopleuroida; Toxopneustidae. The record is from RefSeq and is a predicted model, not a curated record.